RNAcentral lists this ribosomal RNA (469 nucleotides) under uncultured Gammaproteobacteria bacterium. RNAcentral describes it as "bacterial SSU rRNA". It matches the Rfam family "Bacterial small subunit ribosomal RNA", at positions 46 to 494 of the family's 1533-position model. Lineage: Bacteria; Pseudomonadati; Pseudomonadota; Gammaproteobacteria. The record is from RNAcentral.
GCCUAACACAUGCAAGUCGAGCGGCAGCGACAACAUUGAACCUUCGGGGGAUUUGUUGGGCGGCGAGCGGCGGACGGGUGAGUAAUGCCUGGGAAUAUGCCCUGAUGUGGGGGAUAACUAUUGGAAACGAUAGCUAAUACCGCAUAAUCUCUUCGGAGCAAAGAGGGGGACCUUCGGGCCUCUCGCGUCAGGAUUAGCCCAGGUGGGAUUAGCUAGUUGGUGGGGUAAAGGCUCACCAAGGCGACGAUCCCUAGCUGGUCUGAGAGGAUGAUCAGCCACACUGGAACUGAGACACGGUCCAGACUCCUACGGGAGGCAGCAGUGGGGAAUAUUGCACAAUGGGCGAAAGCCUGAUGCAGCCAUGCCGCGUGUAUGAAGAAGGCCUUCGGGUUGUAAAGUACUUUCAGUUGUGAGGAAGGGGGUAGUGUUAAUAGCGCUAUACCUUGACGUUAGCAACAGAAGAAGCACC